AGAGUUUGAUCAUGGCUCAGGAUGAACGCUAGCGGCAGGCUUAACACAUGCAAGUCGAGGGGCAGCNNNNNGUAGCAAUACUCUGGCGGCGACCGGCGGAAGGGUGCGUAACACGUGAGCAACUUGCCCGUAUCAGGGAGAUAACCGGUGGAAACGCCGCCUAAUAUCCCAUAACAACGGGGGUCGCAUGACCCCUGUUUGAAAGACACGUCGGAUACGGAUGGGCUCGCGGGACAUUAGCUAGUUGGAGUGGCAACGGCACACCAAGGCUACGAUGUCUAGGGGUUCUGAGAGGAAGGUCCCCCACAUUGGAACUGAGACACGGUCCAAACUCCUACGGGAGGCAGCAGUGAGGAAUAUUGGUCAAUGGGCGCAAGCCUGAACCAGCCAUGCCGCGUGAAGGAAUGAGGCCCUAUGGGUCGUAAACUUCUUUUGUGGCGGAGCAAUAAGGUCCACGUGUGGGCCGAUGAGAGUACGUCACGAAUAAGCAUCGGCUAACUCCGUGCCAGCAGCCGCGGUAAUACGGAGGAUGCAAGCGUUAUCCGGAUUUAUUGGGUUUAAAGGGUGCGUAGGCUGUUCGACAAGUCAGGGGUGAAAGCCCGGUGCUCAACACCGGAAAUGCCUUUGAUACUGCCGAGCUGGAAUACGGAUGCCGUGGGAGGAAUGAGUAGUGUAGCGGUGAAAUGCAUAGAUAUUACUCAGAACACCGAUUGCGAAGGCAUCUCACGAAUCCGUCAUUGACGCUGAGGCACGAAAGCGUGGGGAUCAAACAGGAUUAGAUACCCUAGUAGUCC
Molecule: ribosomal RNA, 794 nt
Filed under: uncultured bacterium
Lineage: Bacteria
Description: bacterial SSU rRNA
Rfam family: Bacterial small subunit ribosomal RNA
Source: RNAcentral